UGGGGAAUUUUGCACAAUGGGGGAAACCCUGAUGCAGCGACGCCGCGUGAUUUAGAAGGCCUUCGGGUUGUAAAAAUCUUUUUUACGGGAUGAAAAUGACAGUACCGUAAGAAUAAGGUCCGGCUAAAUACGUGCCAGCAGCCGCGGUAAUACGUAUGGACCGAGCGUUGUCCGGAAUCAUUGGGCGUAAAGGGUACGUAGGCGGCCUAAUAAGUUAGAAGUGAAAGAAUAUAGCUCAACUAUAUAAAGCCUUUAAAACUGUUAGGCUUGAGAGAUGAAAGGGAAAGUGGAAUUCCUAGUGUAGCGGUGAAAUGCGCAGAUAUUAGGAAGAAUACCGGUGGCGAAGGCGACUUUCUGGUCAUCAUCUGACGCUGAGGUACGAAAGCGUGGGUAGCAAACAGG
This 402-nucleotide ribosomal RNA is filed under the name bacterium. RNAcentral describes it as "partial 16S ribosomal RNA". It matches the Rfam family "Bacterial small subunit ribosomal RNA", at positions 355 to 776 of the family's 1533-position model. The record is from RNAcentral.